Non-coding RNA from Potamilus streckersoni, 68 nucleotides. The record is from the annotation of a GenBank genome assembly. NCBI's taxonomy places the organism in Eukaryota, Metazoa, Mollusca, Bivalvia, Unionida, Unionidae.
UCAGGUGGCCCACUGGUUAGGGCGUUUGCCUCUUAUGCGGGAGGUCGCCAGUUUAAACCCCAGCUGAA